GUAAAAUCAUGUCCACAUUUAGCAUGUACAUACUUGUCACAGUCAAAACACCUUAUCGUGCGAAAAGUCUAAGGCUCUAUGCUUGUUAUCUCUACAAUAUAUGUCGUGCAUAACUCACUGGCAGUCUUUGUCAAGUUCGUUUGAACAUAUCCUUCUGUCGGACUGUAAUCGUAAUGUUCAUUUCUCUUGCAUAUCAUUUUUCUUGGACCUAAUAAGUGAAAAAAACGUAUAUUCAGUAUAUGUACCAUGGUGUCGCUAAACAAUCAUGGUGAAGAACUAUUAUAACAUAUAUAUAGUCUAGGUACAUGUAAUAAUUUUUAUAGCUCAAGAACAAUUUCAUAAGUAUGUGAAUCAGAUGUUCAAUAAGUUGAUGUCAUCCAAAGUUCAAAUGCACGGACGUUUAUUUUUCGAACCUUUAAAAUGUCAAGAAAAUUGUAGAGGAAAUUGUCAAAAGGAAGCUUCUCUAACCUGGUGUAGGCAACGAUGUUAAUUAUAAAACCAAAGUAAAUUUCAACAGUGAUCUCCGACACAGAAUCUGUUCAAUGUUCUACUGGCCAUUCUGCUGCUCUUUUCAGGCCUUUCUUCCACACGACAUGGAAUUACAUGUUGACAUCAUAAACAUUUGUUUGCUUUCCUUAUGAGACUCCUCACAACUGAUUAAACAACUACUUGCAGCUUAAGGUUUGCAGGAUGAGAUUCCUCGCAAGAAAUCAAUACAUCAAGGGUUCAUCUCUUAAAGUUUGUAAUAUGUGUGCUAUGGAGUCUAUCUGUAUAUGAAUAUCGAGUUGUCUGCUCUCACGUCUUGAUCUUUCUGGAAAGUUUUGCUGAUGGAAUUGUUGCAAGGAUGGUAGUGCUUUUAGGGUAGCAUGCUUUGUAAAAACAACAGGAUGGUUUCCUUAAUACAAAUCAUAGGGCGCACUUUUAGUCAAAAAUAAAUACCUGCAGCUAGGCAGCUGGCUAUAGAACUGGCUCUUGUUCAUCUCUAUCAAGGUCAAGAUAUGUCAGAACAAUCCUGGUAGCAAAGAAAUCAUACAUGUUAGAGAAGCAAGCGUAAAGAUAUUAUUAUAUUAUGAUAGGGUGCCUACAACUUGAGAAGCAAUAUAGUGUGGAGAGAAGAAGAAACCUAGGAAAGAAACCAUGAAAAUGUACCAAGCCAAACACUAUUUAAUUAGGAGUAGAAUCUGAGAAAAAAAUCAAAUCCAAGUAGGAGAAAAACGAACUGAUCUAACUGAUCCUUACUCUUGAACUGUUCUUUUGAAAUAGCCACCAUCGGAAUUCAUUCAAGCACAGCUGGUAAGAAAAAAAAUCACUAUUGCUUUUCCGAACAUCUAGGUGGUGCAAGAAGAAACAUUCAUAAUUCUGGACGUACACCGAAUUUGUAUCAGAAAACAUGAGACGCGUUACGGUUGAUUUGGUCUGCAGCGAUAAAACAAUGGCCAAUCGAAAAACUGUUUAAUCUGCACAUAACACAACAACUGCUAUUACUUGAUGAGUAUUGUUUUUUUAUUCAAUUCAUCUAUAGUUAUAAGAAUAUGCAAGCAUGUGGAAAACGUAUGUACAUAUUAGUAGCUAAUGUUACUUGGAGCCUAUGCCAUGUAAUGUACUGUGUCCGAAAUUAAAUUUAAGGCCUCAGACGUUGAUUUGGAGCAUAUAUUGUUAGCUUUUAUACGUAAUUAUAUCCCUUUUGAGUUGUAAAUCACCAUAGUCAUCGGAAGAGAAAGAGCCCAUGCAUAUCUACGCUCUCUAAACUUUACAUCAAAGAAAUUGUGAGCAGAUCCAAGUUAAAUUACUAAGCUGAGCAAGCGUGAUUGGAGCCGUCCAGAUAAAAGGAUAUCAUGCAAAAGGUUAUUCUAUUGUGCUGAGAGGAGUAAUUCUUACAGAUGAAGGUACGUCUUGCCUUCGUUCUGUCGUAGAUGACAUAGUUCGUAGACUGUUCUGCUGGUUAAAAAUAAAAAUCUCUCCUAGGCGCUGUCGCUUGAAAGGAACGUGCACGCUGGGCAUCUUCUUGUGGUUGUAGGCCAUGCUGAUCUUUAACUCGCAGCAUGAUCUUACACCUUGAUCAACUGUAUGACAAAUCUACAAAACAAAGACCCAUAGCUAUGGCAUGAGUUACAUAAUAAACUCCAGCUAGAAGUAAUCGAAGCACAUACCUACCUCUUCCUUGAAGAUCUUCAUGUUUUUCUCCGGCAGCAUGUUGAGGUCCUUGACACCUAAUAGCUAUCAUCAUGAAACGAUGGAGUCAUACAUGUAUGUGGCUUUGGCUGUUCGGGCUAGGGAAUUACUGAGGUACAGCUUAGUAGGUCAGAGUGUGAUUUAGGCAACUGCCGGGUUGAUCUGCCUCAUACCUGAUCGGUAGGAGGCAUCCAUGUAAGACCGAAAGAAAUCAGUGUCACAAAGCCAACCGGGAAAAGACCCUCGAGGGAGGUUCGAGAGUCAACCCAAGAAGAACAUGUAAAAAAAAUUGAAUCCGAAUUAAAUAAAAAGAUAUGGGUUAUUCAAGUCUAAACAUGGAAGAAAAAAAAUCAAGAAAGAACUGUGUGAGAGAAUGAACCUGAUCCAGAUGAGUUAAAUAUUUUUUUAUGCGACGAACUCCUUGAGCAAAUGGGAUAUACAUGCCCCAAUUUGCUUGCUUUAGUUUAACGGAGAGUAGAUGGAUUUGUUUUUCACGUGAGAAAGAGAGAGAGAAUUCACCGAAGAGAUUUCCUGUCGCCAGAUUGUAUCCAGGUGAAGUUGGAUUUGUUUUUCACGGGCUAGAGAGAGAGAAUCCACCUAGAUAUUUCCUGUCUCCAGAUUGUCUCCAGAUUUUGUUAUAUCUUCUUUAAACGGGGAAAAGAAGAGACGGCUAGAUAGAACUGAGAUGGUCCUAGAUUUUUG
This 2874-nucleotide long non-coding RNA is filed under the name Hordeum vulgare. RNAcentral's name for it is "long non-coding RNA (HVUL_LNC001914)". Lineage: Eukaryota; Viridiplantae; Streptophyta; Magnoliopsida; Poales; Poaceae. The record is from RNAcentral.